UACGUAGGGACCAAGCGUUGUUCGGAUUUACUGGGCGUAAAGGGCGCGUAGGCGGCGCGACAAGUCACUUGUGAAAUCUCUGAGCUUAACUCAGAACGGCCAAGUGAAACUGUUGUGCUAGAGUGCAGAAGGGGCAAUCGGAAUUCUUGGUGUAGCGGUGAAAUGCGUAGAUAUCAGGAGGAACACCGGUGGCGAAGGCGGCUAUCUGGACAGAGUCUGACGCUGAGGCGCGAAAGCGUGGGGAGCAAACAGG
RNAcentral lists this ribosomal RNA (253 nucleotides) under uncultured bacterium. RNAcentral describes it as "partial 16S ribosomal RNA". It matches the Rfam family "Bacterial small subunit ribosomal RNA", at positions 524 to 776 of the family's 1533-position model. The record is from RNAcentral.